RNAcentral lists this long non-coding RNA (279 nucleotides) under Amborella trichopoda. RNAcentral describes it as "long non-coding RNA (ATRI_LNC005353)". Lineage: Eukaryota; Viridiplantae; Streptophyta; Magnoliopsida; Amborellales; Amborellaceae. The record is from RNAcentral.
AAACUCGAUCACCUUCCUCAAAUUCAAGAUCUCUCCUUCGGUUAUCGGCAUAACUCUUUUGCCGACACUGAGCUGUCUUGAGCCUUUCACGAAUUAAUGCUAUUUUAUCUGUGGUUAUCUGGACAAUUUCUGGCCCCAAAAGCUUUCUUUCACCAACCUCGUCCCAACAUAUGGAUGACUUGCAUUUCCUUCCAUACAGGGCUUCAUAUGGUGCCAUCUGAAUACUGGCUUGGAAGCUAUUAUUAUAAGCAAACUCAAUCAGGGGUAAAUGGUCAUCCU